This 381-nucleotide long non-coding RNA is filed under the name Mytilus galloprovincialis (Mediterranean mussel). Lineage: Eukaryota; Metazoa; Mollusca; Bivalvia; Mytilida; Mytilidae. The record is from RNAcentral.
AUUUAUUGUUGAUUAUUAGAUGCUAGCAUGUACCUGUUAAAAAAAACCAUACACACUACUAUAUAUAUAUAUACACAUCCCAAUACUGCACUCCAAAGAGAAAAUAGCCCACCGGCAAAAUGCAUAGCAACGAUUCUUUACUUUAGGAGACAUAUACCCAUAGCAUUUGCCAAGGAUUAUUAAACACUUGUCUUUAGAAGUUGUAAUGGUUAUACCCCCGUUUAUAGCGGAAAUUUUAGUCCAUGUCCUGUCCUUUUAAAAGAGGCCUCUAUCCUCGUUGUUGGGAACUAUGGUUUGUUUAUAUUUCCAUUUUGUCUUGGUAUCGCAAAGGCUUCUUUUUGUGUGAUAUCUUAAUUUUUCCAAUCGUCCAUUGUCUUGCCU